UCAACAACCAAACAAUAAACCCAACAAUUCUAACAAUCCAAAAAUAUAAAACUUAACAAUUUCAACAAUAAGCAUAUAAAUGUAUAAAACCUAUCAAUUUUAAUAGUUAGACAUCAUAAAAUCCUACAACUCUUAUAAUCCAACAAAACCAGUUCUCGAACAACCAAGCAAAACUCAAUGAGGUGACCUACCUCUGCCCAAAAGCAAUGGCCAAUGAGGCUUUGAUGGAGACAAUAGAAAAUCUUAAUUCAUUGAUAGAAGAGUAAAGGUGAUUGUUGACUGGAGACAAACUAGCUGUGGA
Molecule: unclassified non-coding RNA, 301 nt
Filed under: Hevea brasiliensis (rubber tree)
Lineage: Eukaryota; Viridiplantae; Streptophyta; Magnoliopsida; Malpighiales; Euphorbiaceae
Source: RNAcentral